RNAcentral lists this ribosomal RNA (450 nucleotides) under uncultured bacterium. Its description in RNAcentral is "partial 16S ribosomal RNA". It matches the Rfam family "Bacterial small subunit ribosomal RNA", at positions 29 to 523 of the family's 1533-position model. The record is from RNAcentral.
AGCGAACAUUGGCGGUAGGCUUAACACAUGCAAGUCGAGCGAGGCGUAAUAGUCGAGCGGCGAACGGGUGAGUAAUACAUGGAAAUCUACCCUGAAGUGGGGGAUAACGUUCAGAAAUGAACGCUAAUACCGCAUAAUCCAUAUUGGGAAAGCGUUGCAGCGCUUUAGGAUGAGUCCAUGGCUGAUUAGCUUGUUGGUGAGGUAAAGGCUCACAAAGGCGACGAUCAGUAGCUGGUCUGAGAGGAUGACCAGCCACACUGGAACAGAGACACGGUCCAGACGCCUACGGGAGGAAGCAGUGGGGAAUAUUGCGCAAUGGGGGCAACCCUGACGUAGCCAUACCGCGUGAGUGAUGAAGGUCUUCGGAUUGUAAAGCUCUUUCGGCGGGGACGACGAUGACGGUACCCGCAAAAGAAGUCACGGCUAACUUCGUGCCAGCCGCCGCGGUAA